CAGCAGCAGGGAAUAUUGCGCAAUGGGCGAAAGCCUGACGCAGCAACGCCGCGUGGGGGAUGACGGCCUUCGGGUUGUAAACCCCUUUCAGGAGGGAAGAAAUUGACGGUACCUCCAGAAGAAGCCCCGGCCAACUACGUGCCAGCAGCCGCGGUAAUACGUAGGGGGCAAGCGUUGUCCGGAAUUAUUGGGCGUAAAGGGCUCGUAGGCGGCUCAGAAAGUCGGCGGUGAAAUCCCGGGGCUCAACCCCGGAACUGCCGUCGAUACUUCUGUGGCUAGAGUCUGGUAGAGGAGAAUGGAAUUCCCGGUGUAGCGGUGGAAUGCGCAGAUAUCGGGAGGAACACCAGUAGCGAAGGCGGUUCUCUGGGCCAGUACUGACGCUGAGGAGCGAAAGCGUGGGGAGCAAACAGGAUUAGA
RNAcentral lists this ribosomal RNA (417 nucleotides) under uncultured Actinomycetales bacterium. RNAcentral's name for it is "bacterial SSU rRNA". It matches the Rfam family "Bacterial small subunit ribosomal RNA", at positions 349 to 782 of the family's 1533-position model. The record is from RNAcentral. Lineage: Bacteria; Bacillati; Actinomycetota; Actinomycetes; Actinomycetales.